GAUGAACGCUGGCGGCGUGCCUAAUACAUGCAAGUAGAACGCUGAGGAGAGGAGCUUGCUCCUCUCGGAUGAGUUGCGAACGGGUGAGUACCGCGUAGGUAACCUGCCUUGUAGCGGGGGAUAACUAUUGGAAACGAUAGCUAAUACCGCAUAAAAAUGUCUGCCACAUGUCAUUUAUUCGACAGGGGCAAUUGCUCCACUACAAGAUGGUCAUGCGUUGUAUUAGCUAGUAGGUGUGGUAAUGGCUCACCUAGUCGACGAUACAUAGCCGACCUGAGAGGGUGAUCAGCCGCACGGGGAAGGGGACGAGGCGCAGACUCCGACCGGAGGCACCGGUAAGGAAUCUUCGGGAAGGGGGGGAAGGCUAACCGAGGAAAGCGGCGAGAGUGAGGAAGGGUUUCGGAGCGUAAAGCUCUGUGGUAUAUGGAGAGCGAAUUUGUUAGUGGAAAGUACACGCAGUGACGGUAUCUUACCAGAAAGGGACGGCUAACUACGUG
RNAcentral lists this ribosomal RNA (497 nucleotides) under uncultured bacterium. Its description in RNAcentral is "partial 16S ribosomal RNA". It matches the Rfam family "Bacterial small subunit ribosomal RNA", at positions 28 to 507 of the family's 1533-position model. The record is from RNAcentral.